This 279-nucleotide ribosomal RNA is filed under the name uncultured bacterium. RNAcentral's name for it is "partial 16S ribosomal RNA". It matches the Rfam family "Bacterial small subunit ribosomal RNA", at positions 506 to 784 of the family's 1533-position model. The record is from RNAcentral.
UGCCAGCCGCCGCGGUAAGACGGAGGGGGCUAGCGUCGUUCGGAAUUACUGGGCGUAAAGCGCACGUAGGCGGAUCAGAAAGUAUGGGGUGAAAUCCCAGGGCUCAACCCUGGAACUGCCUCAUAAACUCCUGGUCUAGAGUUCGAGAGAGGUGAGUGGAAUUCCGGGUGUAGAGGUGAAAUUCGUAGAUAUUCGGAGGAACACCAGUGGCGAAGGCGGCUCACUGGCUCGAUACUGACGCUGAGGUGCGAAGGCGUGGGUAGCGAACGGGAUUAGAUA